This 484-nucleotide ribosomal RNA is filed under the name uncultured bacterium. Its description in RNAcentral is "partial 16S ribosomal RNA". It matches the Rfam family "Bacterial small subunit ribosomal RNA", at positions 30 to 507 of the family's 1533-position model. The record is from RNAcentral.
AUUGAACGCUGGCGGAAUGCUUUACACAUGCAAGUCGAACGGCAGCACGGGGGCAACCCUGGUGGCGAGUGGCGAACGGGUGAGUAAUACAUCGGAACGUGCCCGGUCGUGGGGGAUAACGUAGCGAAAGUUACGCUAAUACCGCAUACGAUCUGAGGAUGAAAGCGGGGGACCUUCGGGCCUCGCGCGAUCGGAGCGGCCGAUGUCAGAUUAGGUAGUUGGUGGGGUAAAGGCCUACCAAGCCGACGAUCGGUAGCUGGUCUGAGAGGACGAGCAGCCACACUGGGACUGGAACACGGCCCAGACUCCUACGGGAGGCAGCAGUGGGGAAUUUUGGACAAUGGGCGCAAGCCUGAUCCAGCCAUUCCGCGUGCAGGACGAAGGCCUUCGGGUUGUAAACUGCUUUUGUAUGGAACGAAAAGGCUCUGGCUAAUACCUGGGGCUCAUGACGGUACCGUAAGAAUAAGCACCGGCUAACUACGUG